GGGUUGUGAGGUUAAGCGACUAAGCGUACACGGUGGAUGCCCUGGCAGUCAGAGGCGAUGAAGGGCGUGCUAAUCUGCGAUAAGCGCCGGUAAGGUGAUAUGAACCGUUAUAACCGGCGAUACCCGAAUGGGGAAACCCAGUGUGAUUCGUCACACUAUCAUUAACUGAAUCCAUAGGUUAAUGAGGCGAACCGGGGGAACUGAAACAUCUAAGUACCCCGAGGAAAAGAAAUCAACCGAGAUUCCCCCAGUAGCGGCGAGCGAACGGGGAGGAGCCCAGAGCCUGAAUCAGCAUGUGUGUUAGUGGAAGCGUCUGGAAAGGCGCGCGAUACAGGGUGACAGCCCCGUACACAAAAGCGCAUGUGCUGUGAGCUCGAUGAGUAGGGCGGGACACGUGGUAUCCUGUCUGAAUAUGGGGGGACCAUCCUCCAAGGCUAAAUACUCCUGACUGACCGAUAGUGAACCAGUACCGUGAGGGAAAGGCGAAAAGAACCCCGGCGAGGGGAGUGAAAAAGAACCUGAAACCGUGUACGUACAAGCAGUGGGAGCCCCACCACUAAGCCAGUGGUGAACUCCACAUCCGCAUCCUUUGCUGAGGAUACGGUUAACGGAGCGAAAGCGACGUUCAACCGCAAAACAAGCAGAGGGGGCUUAGUGGUGGGGUGACUGCGUACCUUUUGUAUAAUGGGUCAGCGACUUAUAUUCUGUAGCAAGGUUAACCGAAUAGGGGAGCCGGAGGGAAACCGAGUCUUAAUUGGGCGUUAAGUUGCAGGGUAUAGACCCGAAACCCGGUGAUCUAGCCAUGGGCAGGUUGAAGGUUGGGUAACACUAACUGGAGGACCGAACCGACUAAUGUUGAAAAAUUAGCGGAUGACCUGUGGCUGGGGGUGAAAGGCCAAUCAAACCGGGAGAUAGCUGGUUCUCCCCGAAAGCUAUUUAGGUAGCGCCUCGUGAAUUCAUCUCCGGGGGUAGAGCACUGUUUCGGCUAGGGGGCCAUCCCGGCUUACCAACCCGAUGCAAACUGCGAAUACCGGAGAAUGUUAUCACGGGAGACACACGGCGGGUGCUAACGUCCGUCGUGAAGAGGGAAACAACCCAGACCGCCAGCUAAGGUCCCAAAGUCAUGGUUAAGUGGGAAACGAUGUGGGAAGGCCCAGACAGCCAGGAUGUUGGCUUAGAAGCAGCCAUCAUUUAAAGAAAGCGUAAUAGCUCACUGGUCGAGUCGGCCUGCGCGGAAGAUGUAACGGGGCUAAACCAUGCACCGAAGCUGCGGCAGCGAACGUAUCACCCAAGACAACUUUACGGAGUUGACGAUUGACGGAGCGAAGCGACGUCAAAGCGUUCAUUAAAGUCGAGUUGGCUUAGGGAUACGUUCGUUGGGUAGGGGAGCGUUCUGUAAGCCUGUGAAGGUGUGUCGUGAGGCAUGCUGGAGGUAUCAGAAGUGCGAAUGCUGACAUAAGUAACGAUAAAGCGGGUGAAAAGCCCGCUCGCCGGAAGACCAAGGGUUCCUGUCCAACGUUAAUCGGGGCAGGGUGAGUCGACCCCUAAGGCGAGGCCGAAAGGCGUAGUCGAUGGGAAACGGGUUAAUAUUCCCGUACUUGGUGUUACUGCGAAGGGGGGACGGAGAAGGCUAUGUUGGCCGGGCGACGGUUGUCCCGGUUUAAGCGUGUAGGUGUGUGUUCCAGGUAAAUCCGGUUCACUUUAACACUGAGGCGUGACGACGAGGCACUACGGUGCUGAAGCAACAAAUGCCCUGCUUCCAGGAAAAGCCUCUAAGCAUCAGGUAACAUCAAAUCGUACCCCAAACCGACACAGGUGGUCAGGUAGAGAAUACCAAGGCGCUUGAGAGAACUCGGGUGAAGGAACUAGGCAAAAUGGUGCCGUAACUUCGGGAGAAGGCACGCUGACACGUGAGGUGAAGGGAUUUACUCAUGGAGCUGAAGUCAGUCGAAGAUACCAGCUGGCUGCAACUGUUUAUUAAAAACACAGCACUGUGCAAACACGAAAGUGGACGUAUACGGUGUGACGCCUGCCCGGUGCCGGAAGGUUAAUUGAUGGGGUCAGCGCAAGCGAAGCUCCUGAUCGAAGCCCCGGUAAACGGCGGCCGUAACUAUAACGGUCCUAAGGUAGCGAAAUUCCUUGUCGGGUAAGUUCCGACCUGCACGAAUGGCGUAAUGAUGGCCAGGCUGUCUCCACCCGAGACUCAGUGAAAUUGAACUCGCUGUGAAGAUGCAGUGUACCCGCGGCAAGACGGAAAGACCCCGUGAACCUUUACUAUAGCUUGACACUGAACAUUGAGCCUUGAUGUGUAGGAUAGGUGGGAGGCUUUGAAGUGUGGACGCCAGUCUGCAUGGAGCCGACCUUGAAAUACCACCCUUUAAUGUUUGAUGUUCUAACGUGGACCCGUAAUCCGGGUUGCGGACAGUGUCUGGUGGGUAGUUUGACUGGGGCGGUCUCCUCCUAAAGAGUAACGGAGGAGCACGAAGGUUGGCUAAUCCUGGUCGGACAUCAGGAGGUUAGUGCAAUGGCAUAAGCCAGCUUGACUGCGAGCGUGACGGCGCGAGCAGGUGCGAAAGCAGGUCAUAGUGAUCCGGUGGCUCUGAAUGGAAGGGCCAUCGCUCAACGGAUAAAAGGUACUCCGGGGAUAACAGGCUGAUACCGCCCAAGAGUUCAUAUCGACGGCGGUGUUUGGCACCUCGAUGUCGGCUCAUCACAUCCUGGGGCUGAAGUAGGUCCCAAGGGUAUGGCUGUUCGCCAUUUAAAGUGGUACGCGAGCUGGGUUUAGAACGUCGUGAGACAGUUCGGUCCCUAUCUGCCGUGGGCGCUGGAGAACUGAGGGGGGCUGCUCCUAGUACGAGAGGACCGGAGUGGACGCAUCACUGGUGUUCGGGUUGUCAUGCCAAUGGCACUGCCCGGUAGCUAAAUGCGGAAGAGAUAAGUGCUGAAAGCAUCUAAGCACGAAACUUGCCCCGAGAUGAGUUCUCCCUGAGACUUAGAGUCUCCUGAAGGAACGUUGAAGACGACGACGUUGAUAGGCCGGGUGUGUAAGCGCAGCGAUGCGUUGAGCUAACCGGUACUAAUGAACCGUGAGGCUUAACCUUACAACGCCGAAG
RNAcentral lists this ribosomal RNA (3113 nucleotides) under Salmonella enterica subsp. enterica serovar Rough O:-:-. Its description in RNAcentral is "23S ribosomal RNA". It matches the Rfam family "Bacterial large subunit ribosomal RNA". Lineage: Bacteria; Pseudomonadati; Pseudomonadota; Gammaproteobacteria; Enterobacterales; Enterobacteriaceae. The record is from RNAcentral.